RNAcentral lists this ribosomal RNA (253 nucleotides) under uncultured bacterium. RNAcentral describes it as "partial 16S ribosomal RNA". It matches the Rfam family "Bacterial small subunit ribosomal RNA", at positions 524 to 776 of the family's 1533-position model. The record is from RNAcentral.
UACGUAGGGUGCGAGCGUUAAUCGGAAUUACUGGGCGUAAAGCGUGCGUAGGUGGUUCGUUGUGUCUGUGGUGAAAGCCCCGGGCUUAACCUGGGAAUGGCCAUGGAAACUGGCGAGCUGGAGUGUGGCAGAGGGGGGUGGAAUUCCGCGUGUAGCAGUGAAAUGCGUAGAGAUGCGGAGGAACACCGAUGGCGAAGGCAGCCCCCUGGGCUAACACUGACGCUGAGGCACGAAGGCCAGGGGAGCAAACGGG